GAUGAACGCUGGCGGCGUGCCUAAUACAUGCAAGUCGAGCGAACGGACGAGAAGCUUGCUUCUCUGAUGUUAGCGGCGGACGGGUGAGUAACACGUGGAUAACCUACCUAUAAGACUGGGAUAACUUCGGGAAACCGGAGCUAAUACCGGAUAAUAUUUUGAACCGCAGGGUUCAAAAGUGAAGGACGGUCUUGCUGUCACUUAUAGAUGGAUCCGCGCUGCAUUAGCUAGUUGGUAAGGUAACGGCUUACCAAGGCAACGAUGCAUAGCCGACCUGAGAGGGUGAUCGGCCACACUGGAACUGAGACACGGUCCAGACUCCUACGGGAGGCAGCAGUAGGGAAUCUUCCGCAAUGGGCGAAAGCCUGACGGAGCCACGCCGCGUGAGUGAUGAAGGUCUUCGGAUCGUAAAACUCUGUUAUUUGGGAAGAACAUCUGUGUAAGUAACUGUGCACAUCUUGACGGUACCUAAUCAGAAAGCCACGGCUAACUACGUG
RNAcentral lists this ribosomal RNA (497 nucleotides) under uncultured bacterium. RNAcentral describes it as "partial 16S ribosomal RNA". It matches the Rfam family "Bacterial small subunit ribosomal RNA", at positions 28 to 507 of the family's 1533-position model. The record is from RNAcentral.